GGAGGUAUAGCUCAGUGGUAGAGGGUGUGCUUAGCAUGCACGAGGUCCUGGGUUCAAUCUCCAGCACCUCCA
Molecule: transfer RNA, 72 nt
Filed under: Camelus bactrianus (Bactrian camel)
Lineage: Eukaryota; Metazoa; Chordata; Mammalia; Artiodactyla; Camelidae
Also listed under: 3 other names
Rfam family: tRNA
About the family: Transfer RNA (tRNA) molecules are approximately 80 nucleotides in length. Their secondary structure includes four short double-helical elements and three loops (D, anti-codon, and T loops).
Source: Rfam by way of RNAcentral